This 20-nucleotide small nuclear RNA is filed under the name Arabidopsis thaliana (thale cress). RNAcentral describes it as "snRNA_07038". Lineage: Eukaryota; Viridiplantae; Streptophyta; Magnoliopsida; Brassicales; Brassicaceae. The record is from RNAcentral.
CAAAGCACUCAGCAUUGCUC